RNAcentral lists this ribosomal RNA (492 nucleotides) under uncultured bacterium. Its description in RNAcentral is "partial 16S ribosomal RNA". It matches the Rfam family "Bacterial small subunit ribosomal RNA", at positions 29 to 507 of the family's 1533-position model. The record is from RNAcentral.
AGUGAACGCUGGCGGUAGGCCUAACACAUGCAAGUCGAACGGCAGCACAGUAAGAGCUUGCUCUUACGGGUGGCGAGUGGCGGGCGGGUGAGGAAUACAUCGGAAUCUACUUUUUCGUGGGGGAUAACGUAGGGAAACUUACGCUAAUACCGCAUACGACCUACGGGUGAAAGCAGGGGAUCUUCGGACCUUGCGCGAUUGAAUGAGCCGAUGUCGGAUUAGCUAGUUGGCGGGGUAAAGGCCCACCAAGGCGACGAUCCGUAGCUGGUCUGAGAGGAUGAUCAGCCACACUGGAACUGAGACACGGUCCAGACUCCUACGGGAGGCAGCAGUGGGGAAUAUCGGACAAUGGGCGCAAGCCUGAUCCAGCCAUACCGCGUGGGUGAAGAAGGCCUUCGGGUUGUAAAGCCCUUUUGUUGGGAAAGAAAAGCAGCAGGUUAAUACCCCGCUGUUCUGACGGUACCCAAAGAAUAAGCACCGGCUAACUUCGUG